Long non-coding RNA from Brassica oleracea var. oleracea, 1354 nucleotides. RefSeq lists it as uncharacterized. Lineage: Eukaryota; Viridiplantae; Streptophyta; Magnoliopsida; Brassicales; Brassicaceae. The record is from RefSeq and is a predicted model, not a curated record. The transcript is spliced from 3 exons.
ACCGCCUUUGCGGAUGGUCUUAGCUUCUUAAGCCUAGACCAUAAGAGAAACCUGCGUUUUUUAGGGUUAGACAUGUGCUUAUCUUUGCCUCCACGACGAGACUAUUAAGGUUUUGAGAUUGCUCUUUCAUCUUCUUCUUCAUGAUACCAAAUGAUAUCAGUUACAGAAUAAUCCUCGUAAAACCCUCUAUUUAUCUUCCAAAGCGGUGGAGAUUCGACUAUAAAAAGUCUCCCUCUCCGAUUUACAGACGGGCUGCUCCUCCUCCACCAUUUAGGUCCGGUUGCUCCGUUUCUAGAGGCCAGGAAUGUCCGCUGUGGUGAUGCCUUCAAGCUCCACCACUUCGUUCAUUGCUCACUAAUACAACAUUGAAAAUUAUACUGGUCACAACUGAUUUGAAUGUCAGAGAAAUGUAAGCAGCUUUCUAUCUGCUCAAAUACUACUUAAUUUUAAAUUAAACGAGCUCCUGCAACCCACUAUUUUAUGCUCUUUCUAUGUCGAUGAAGAAGAAGGCUAAGGUUCUUUAAGUUAUUUCUAAAAACUUCAACAUAUUCUCAAGAACAGGGUUUGGUUGCUGACGAUAAACAAGAAAGUCUUGGAAGCAACAUAGAUUCUUGUUAAGCGAUUGGGUCAAUUAAAAGCAAAGAAGAAGCUAUUGUAGAAACAGAGGAAAUAAGAAAAUCCAAAAGCUAAAGCCAUGAAGAUUAUGGCUUAAAUGGAAUCUUAUUCAAAUGACAGUGAUUGUGGCAUAGGAAAAGUUGUUGACAUGAGCUCUUUCGGAAAUAAGGCUACACUGAUUCUGUAGUUGUUACAUCCAUAAUCUGAAGUAGAAACCCUUCUUAGAUUGUAAGAACACCGAUAAAGCAUUGAUGCUUGCUCUACUGAAACCAGCUGCUGCAUCGAUAGCCUUUUGCUCAAUUGUUAAUCUUGGAGAGAUAUUGAAGAAUGUAGAAUUAGUUGUAGUUGUUUGAUUGCCACUGAAAAGCGUAGAAGUUUGUAUUGGAAUAAAGUUCAAGAAUUAAGGAAGAGUUGUGUUAUUGGAUGAGUUUCAGAAGGCAAUGAUGGUCAGGGAAGGGUCUGUUGUGGCUUGCAAGUGCUUGGGGAAGUGAUGAGACUGUCAAAAUGGUAAAGUACUAAACGAGUCUGAUCAGUGAUGACUUCUGUUAACACCUUCCAAGGCCAUUUGUAUUGGAGUUGGGUUGCAGGAUGUGGAUACUUUAUUUUUUCUAUAUAAUACCUUAUGGAGUAGAAACCCUUCCUAGCAUGUAAGAACACCCAUAAAGCAUUGAAGCUUUCUCUAUAUAUUAUGUUCUCCUCUCUCCCUCUGCACUGUCAACGUCUGUAGUCUGUACCAAUU